CAAGGAGCUAUUGAAAUGAGAAAUUUUGAAAAAUGAAUGUAAAAACCUGUGAGAUGAAAAUGAACAAAUCAAAGGUUGUGCAAUAUAGAAGGGUAGUCAGUGGACAUUCUGAACCUUGUGUCAUGUAGGUCACAUGAGCAAUUGAAAUUCAAAUGUAAAAAGUUUGUACUUUGUUUACACUCCAUUACUAAUUCAACUAGUAAUACAAAAUGCUGCUCACAUUUCCACGUUUAUUAGCUUUGGAAAGCAAAUUAAUGACCAAAUCGUGAAAAUAAGACCUGUGCAAUUUUUCCAACAUCUUGACACUUAUUUGGAGUCUGUGGCUCGAAAGCUAUUGAGGUUUGAAAGCACGAAUAUCCGUUGAAUAUCCAACUUAACUGUUUUUACCUUGGUACUUCGUUUCACCUUUUUUCGACAUUUCUUUGUAUAUAUCCAUAAAAAUUAAAGCAGCCGAUUGAUGAUUUAGACAGGCAGCGUUUCUCAGCCAGUCUGUCUAUUCCCGACUCCGGACAAAUUCAUUACCAUGGUACAGUUGGAGCAUAAACAAAGGAAUGUUCGGGUGUCGUGUGAGCAUUGUUGUGGAAAAUUGUCUUAAGAAUAUAAUACUCUUGCAAGAACUUGUGAAUUUAAUACAGACUUUAAUACAGAGUAGCAAAGCCGAGCUGGUCCAUGGAACAACUUCCCUGAGCAUCGGCUCUUCUUUUAUGCACAUACAGCAUAUGGGUACAUCCCCUAUGUUAAUGCAAUUACUCCUCUUAGUCUUUCCGCCACCAUUAUCUUCCAACUCCUCUGACAUAGUAUACAUGCAAUAUUAAAUCACAUGGUUACUUUGGAUACAGUACAUUUCAUGUGUCUUAGUAAAAAAAAAAAAAAAAUCUUUCCAUGUGUUCAAUAUCUUUGAGAUCAGCACCAGUCCAUGCGAGAAAUUGCCAAGAAACUGAAAAUCUCGUACAACGCUGUGUAAUACUCCCUUCACAGAACAGCGCAAACUGGCUCUAACCAGAAUGGAAAGAGGAGUGGAGGCCCCGGUGCACAACUGAGUAAGAGGACAAGUACAUUAGAGUGUCUAGUUUGAGAAACAGACGUCUCAAGUCAUCAACUGGCAGCUUCAUUAAAUAGUACCCGCAAAACACCAGUCUCAACGUCAACAGUGAAGAGGCGACUCCGGGAUGCUGGCCUUCUAGGCAGAGUUCCUCUGUCCAGUGUCUGUUCUUUUGCCCAUCUGAAUCUUUUAUUUUUAUUGGCCAGUCUGAGAUAUGGCUUUUUCUUUGCAACUCUGCCUAGGCCAGUAUCCUGGAGUCGCCUCUUCACUGUUGACGUUGAGACUGGUGUUUAAAGAUGAUUAACUUUGAAACAAAAGUACAAACCUCACACACAUGGUUAUGGGCUUUAAAAAAAAUAAAAAAAUACACCUGUACCAUGUCAGAUAUUUAGAAUUUCAGAUUAGAAAUGUAUUACAUUUUGAGUUUGCAUCCCAAUACUACACUUUAUAUGGUCUAUAUAGCCUUCUUUUAACCAUAAAAAGGGUUAGCAUUCACACCUAACCAGACACGUCUGGUAAGAAUGUACCCUGCCUGUCUUACUUUAGUCCCCUAUAAAAUCAACAAGAGCCAAGUGAAGGAUGCUGCUGACAAUAUAUUUUUAAGUGUACAAAAAUAUUUAGAAACAAAUAACAUACACCAACAUAAAGAAAUAACACUAGGUCGAACAAACAUAUGAAAAUAUAAUGUAAAUGCACCAGGUCAGUGGUUACUACAAACAUACAGGUUUCCUGGUAUAUGCAUCCAGAAUACUGCAAUGGAACCUUGUUUCAGCUGGCUUAGUAUCUCUAAAUCAUACAAUACUGUUCAUCCCGUGUAAACAAACGGAAUCGGUUUAAACUCCAGAAAAAUAUCUAUUGGUAAGGUACCCACUUGUUAUAAGAUUGUAAAAGGGAACGGUAGAGAGGUGGGCAGAAUGAUAACUUACAAAUUCAUACAAACCGCAGUGAAUUUGGCAUAGUUCACAUUCUGUGAUACAGUAAACAUGAGGUUUGCAUAAAAUACUGUUUACCCCCCAAAAAUGUCAGACAACACUGACAAGAAAAUAAACAUUAAAAUACAGCAAUCCAAUGACACACAAAAAACUUUAGGGUUUUUUAAAUUAGAUGAAGUUUCGCAAUGUUGCCUGUGAUGGGGUCAUGAUAGGGGCUGCACCAAAUGUUUGAUGUAUUAUAAUAAUUGGUUAUGCUUAUGUUGUAUUAAUAGAAGGGGAAGGGUUAUAAGACCUGUCCCCCCUUACAUUUAUAGGGUCCUAGACUACAAAUGAACAAUAUAUAUAUGCAUUAUAAGGUGUAAUAUUGUUCCACAGUUAUUUUAUAGUCUGCUUCUUAUAAGAAACGGUCUGAGAGCUGUGUGAGUUAUUGCAGUCAAAACAGGGUGUCUGAGAAAGCGCCUCAAAGAUAAAAGAGAUUCAUAGACACAGAACCCUGCAGGGGAGUGAAAGAGAUAAGAGACUAGUCAGACAUACCACCAUAAAUCAACUUGGGGAGUGGACAUGUACUGCUGAGCCUUUAGAAAACACUGGAACUCAACAUUAUGUGUAAAGCUGUGUAUGCAUGGGCUUGGUCUCAUGAGUAGAGGGUAAUGACGUAGGCAUUUACAUCACUAGGGGUUGACUGCAAGCAUAUUAAAAGCAACUUGGACUUUUCCUAUUUAGCAGAACACAGGAGAGACAUCAGUUGUAUGUGUGAUGUUUGAUCUUUGACUUCGGUCUACAGCUGUAUUUUGAUGAAAAUUGUUCUAAUUUAUAAGUGCACAUUGAGUGUUCCUUAUUUGUUAAGUAAAUAAUGGAGCCAAGAAAAGUGGAACCAACACCUGUCAGGCCUGAGGUAGAGAGGACACUGUCAGAUAAAUUCUCAGUCACUUAAGAAUGUAAACAAUAACUACAGUAAAUAAUAACUGUAUUAUGAGCUGCCCAACCUUGCCACAAUGAGGUCAAUUUCUGCAUUCCCAAAGAAUAUACAUUGGUUAUGAAUAUUUGUCAUUAAAAACAAAAAUUGUACAUAUAUUUCCAUGGGAAACAAGUUACAAGAAUCAGAUUGUCAUGCGACAGUCCUCACUCCACUCCCCCAGUCCAUAACUGGAGACAAUACAAUUUGUCGUGGGUUAGCUGCCAGGCCUACUUCUUCUGCUUGAAUUUCUUCUGAAACUUCUGGAAGGUGGUGGAGGAAGACUUGGGAACUUUAGUGGUCAAAGAGGUGAGAGGACAAUAUCUCUUCUGAAUGCCAACAGACCAUACACCUAAAUGGAGUAAUAAUUCAUUCGUAACAAUAAAUGUUACAACAAAUAAAACAAAAACCUACAUCCUCAUAUUUGACAGAAAGGAAUACAUGGAGAUGGGGAACAAACUGAAUAGAUACAAGAAAUGCUUUCCUUACAAAGAUAUGGAAAAUGCAAUGUAGGUAGCGGACACAUUACAUACAGUACAUUUUCAACACAUGGUUGAAUAGACGGCAUGCUUUAUUACCUUGGGAUUUUUGGACUAUCGUCUGAGGACUCUCAGCCUUCGCAGCAACCGGACCAGCCAUGUCUGAUGGGAAAAGUGUUUCAAUGUGAAAAGAGCAGGAAUACAUGUCUAAUUACAGGUAACAUUAACUGAAAUAAGAGCAAAUGUGUUGGUGUUGGUAUUACUUACCAUUCAUUGAACCUGUCUGUGUCGGAGGGUCCAUGACGUCUUUGAAGUUGAACGACUCCGGCAGCACACUAAACAUAAGACUGUUCUGCUCAUGAGGCAAAGGAGCUGGGUUUCCGAUCUCAUAUUUACUUUGUUCCACUAGAUCAGGGAUACUGGAUGGCACUGCCUCAAUCCUAGAUUUCUUUGGUCCGAGUUUCAGGCCGUUUAAGAUUCUUUCUCUUUCAACACGCCGCAAAGUCUGCUUGGCCUUUACAGUUCUUUCUGGUUUGGCUCGCCUUUCAGAGGAUAAUGCACCUCUAUCUGUGUUGGUGAGGGCAACAGUCUUUUUGGCCAUUUCAGCACAAAUAAUCUUUGGAGCAAAGCCUCUUCUGUUUUGUAGUUUUGACACUUUGCCCCUGGACUUUGUCUUUGUCGGGAUAAAACUAUUAUUCCACUCGUUUAAGAUCCAUUGUUUGAUUGGGCUUUCCGCUGGAGGACUGGUCCAGGAGUUGACAUUCACACUGAGGGUUAUAGGAGGUGCUGGAGCAUUGUCUGCAAAAGGUCUUGCUCGAGAAGUAUUAUGGUCCUUGCGUUGGUCAGUUGUUAAAGCCCCAUUUUUCCUCUGGAGCGCGGAACCAAACAAGGCUAGACUUACUGUGCCAACCCUCCAAAUGUUGUUCCCAAUUCCAUGUUCUGUUGGCUUCUGGAGAUUGCUACCUUUUGAAUGUUUCUCUUCUUCCAAAGAUUUAGAAGUAGUUGUAUUGGGGGGCUCAAAAACAUCAUCAUCAGUCAAGUUGACCUCAGGAACGAGUUGAAAGGAGGGACCUAAUCCAUCCCUCAUUUUCCUUUGCUUUCUUGGGACAGGCAAAUUUGAAUGCGGACUUUCAACACAUCUUCUCUUGAGUCCAACCCCUUUUUGUUUAACCUUGUAGCUACAAUUUGUUUUAGGAGAGAGAUGUUUGUGACAUCUUUGUGCCAAGGAAAGUGAUGUAAGGAAACCGAUUUUGUCUGUUGGUUGGGGUUGCAGAUUAGAAGUAGGAAUGGGAACUGUAGGAACGACUUCACUACCUCUAGGGUUUCCUUCUUCCAAAAUGACACCAAGUUCUUGUACACAUUCUAUACGUUUCUGGAACAGACCUGGUAGUUUCUGCUUUGGCUGUACAUCGUCCCAAACUAUCUCCGAUAUUGGGGUGUCUACUUUAAUAAAGUCUUCAUAACGGGAGAAGACCUCUUCAAUUUCAACAAUGUUUGUGUGGUUGAUGGGGAGUUGCAGUGCUGGGGCUUUUGACAAAGGCAAGCUCUUCACCCAAUUUGUGUAUAUGCGAGCAGUCUCAGAUUUGCUAUCAGACAAAACAAUUGUUUGGCAUUCUUGAAUGCCUGUAGAUUUCCAAGAUUGAGGAUUCAAAUUUUUUACAGGAUUCUCUUCCCUCUUUUCUUCUGCUGUGCCAUUUGAUUUAGACAAUUGCAGGCAUUCCCUUUGUUCUGCUUUUGUUGUGUUGGGUUCAACAGACAAUGUUACCUCAACCAACGGCGUCGCAUUCACAGUGGCCUUUGCUGAACCCAAUUUAGUCUCGUAUUGGCAUUUGCAGGACGAAGAAUUGGUGGACCCACUGAACACUGCCAUCCAACGAGAGAGGCAACAGUAAUCUUCUGAUUGGGCAUCCCCUUUGUUUUCGAGUUUUAAAUCAGUCAACUUCACAUCUACCCUCUCAGAUGACUUAUCCUCCACUGAGUAAUCUUUCAACUCAAUCAGCUCCGCGUCCAUUUCCAUUGGCAAUUCCAACAGGUCUUCUUCAUUCACUUUAUCUUGUGGUAGCUGCCCACUGAAAAACAUCAAAGCUUCUUCUGGUGUCAGCACGUUGAUCUCCAGGGAGGAAAAUGGGUCACUAAAAAUGAUACCUGCCUCUCUCUUAACCAGUGAGAGGGUCUGGGUGGAACCGUGUACCAAACCUGACCCUUGAAUUUCUUUAGCAUCAGAAUCAGAGGGUGUUGGUCUCUUCGUCUGAGCCACCUCAGUCUGCAUGUCAUUGGCAGAGUCCGCAGAUUUUUCAUUUUCGGUACAAAUCAGUUUUGUUUGUUCAUCUCCUCUAUGAAGAGUCUUUUGGUCAUAUCUUAGUGACCAUGGGAAUCCAAACUCCUUGUCUAUGUCAUCAAGCUGCUUAUUUGUGUUCAACCACGAUGACUCUUGCGCUGGGAACUCGGGGUGAACAGAAUCAUGUUUAAGAAUGGCACAUUUCUCUUCAACUUGACCCCAGUUUUUGCGCCUGGCUUGUGAAAAUAUGACAGACUGUGAUGACAUAUCGUCAUCGUCGCCACACACAGAUCUAACCUCUUCCAUUAUAUUUUGUAACAUACCAGAUCUUGCAGCAUCCAUAAGCUUUGGCCCAUCUCCGUCCCAAUAGAGGCUUAGUAUUUUGCUUUCAACUGGUGUGGCAGUGCAUUUUUGACUUUGCACAGUAUCUACCAACUCCUUCAAUUUACCAAGGGUCCAUUUGAUUACAGGAAUGGAGGACAAUUCAAAAAUGUCCUCAUCGGAAUCGACUUUUUCAUUCGUUUCCUCACUCAAUUGGUUAACAUGCACAUGAGUGGUCAUUUCUGUGUCAGCUAACUCUUUUCUCUGAGUGGCUUGACAUUCCACAUUAGGUAAUGGUUGAGAAUCAAAUUUCUCUGCACAUAACCCGUUUGAUAAUGACCGUUGAGGCUUAAAACAUGAAUAUAUCUUGGCCAUUUCAACAUCAGAAGUUUCUGAACCCUUGGUCAAUGUUUUAUCAGCCCCUGAUUCUAGUCUGAUCUUGGGGACCUCUUGUUCAGAUUCAUUUGUCAAAGAAGCAGAUAGAAUAAGGGUUGUUUGGGCUUGUGAUGGACUUUGGUCACAAGAUUCUUCCCCAGGGUUGCUCACAUUUUUGACACCUGUUAAGAAAGACAUACCUUGGGUAGUCAAGGAGAUUUUAUCAGCCACAUUUAGAGGUGUGUUUGUCUGCAUACACUGCGAUAGUGGUUGUACAACUGCAACGGCCUUCUGUGUCGUAAGAACAGAGGGGGCAUUACUUGCAGAUGAUCCUUGCAGGACCAGAGCACUUUCAUUAGGUUUAUCUCCUAUGAAAAUAAAAUUUUCUGUUCUAAAUCCAUUUCCACUUUUGUCCUCUGUUACUGUUAUGUAAUAGCCCUGUCUUAUGGGGUGUGACGGAGUCACAGACUCACAGUUUUGCUGGCCUGAAGACAGCAUACCAUGGUUUGGCACAGAUGAAGAUGGUCCAGUGUUGGAUAACUGAACAUAGGUGUUUUUUGGCUUGUAAUGUAGGGUAGGGGCUGCACCUUGGUUAGGCACGUGUUGCAGAAAAUGCGCUCCUGCCCCAACCACAUGUUCCGUCUUGUUCAGCACGGGUCCAUGGGAGUGCUGGCCUGGGUAUGGUGGAGGCGCGGUCUCACGGUUGUGCUGGACUGAGGGCUGUAUACUAUAGUUUGGCACAGAUGAAGAUGGUCCAGCGUUGCCUACCAGAACAUUGGUGCAGUCUGGCUUGUAAUGUAGGGUAGGGCAUGUGCCUUGGAUAUGGAGCCUAGGAUGAGAGGCAUAGUGUGCAUUAUUUCCAAUGGGCCCUGCCUGACUGUUAUUAUUUGCACAAUAAGAUGGGAGUCUGUUCUGUUGUGGUGGGAUGGGAAAGCUUUUAGGGCAGAUGGGGACAUGUCUUGGAGAAUUAUUAAAAGGAGGGUUAUACAUAACAUUGUACUGAGGAUUCUGGCUAAUGUUAUGCAUUGGCAUUGACUGCCCCACUGUAGCAUUUGAUACAUUGACCUGGUUGUUGCUGCCAGUGAGAAGUUGAGAGGGAUACAUUUGACUGUGGUUUGAUGAGCCAGUGUGGACAGGUGCUCCAUGUUGGUGCACCCUGUUCAUCUCAGCCCUGCUGUCAUUGUUCUGAUUUUGAAGUAAAUACAACAGUUGGUUAUAUGUUGUCUCCUGUCCACUUUGCAAAGAGUUUGGUGUUUGUGGGUUUCCCUGAUGAGGAGCUUGAACUGCUAUCCUUCUUGAAUCCUGCCCACUCACUACAGUCAAUUUAUGAUUUACAUGGUUGGGGCUCCUACCCAUUGCAAGAGAAGCAGAGGUACCACUGGAGGCCCCCUCUUGUCUGCCAAGUACAAGCUGCUGACUGCCACUCACUGGGCUUAGAUGAUACAUAACAUUUGUAUUCAGUGGUGCAUUAAUAUGAGGGGGGCAGUGAAUGGUUGGACCCUGACCAUCCUUUACGAGCCUCUGUGGAUUGUUUUUUUUAACACCCAAAAACCUCUGUCCCUGCUGAAAAGUGGGCUGAGCUGCACUGUUAACCCUUCCGGGCAAGGUGUGACGGUUUCCACUUUGUGAUGUAACACCAGUUGAUUGAGCAGCCGCUGCAUUGUUAGUCCAGAGUGAUGUCAAAAGGGGACUAGUACCCGUUAGAACUUGCUCUUUGGUGGGUGAAUGCUGAGAUGAGUUUAUGUACACCAUUGAAGCCUGUUGAUUCAGGUUCGGUCCACUCCAGUAACCUCCACUGGUUACUUGUCCGCUGUGUGGUAGGCAUCGACCACCUUCUAUAUACAGGACAGCUGGUCUGACUGGCCCAUAUUGACGAGAAUAGCUGCAAGGAAUCUCACUCAUCUGACCACUGGUAACUUGGGGACUUGAUGAUUGUCCAGCGACGGAUCGAUCCAGUCCACUUUGGGUCCAGGUAUAGGUCUGCAUUCUCCUUGUCUCAUCAGUGUCGCCUACUGCCUUGUAGUAUUUCAGAAUUAAACCAUUUCUGAAAAAAAAACGGGGGAAAAAAAACGUGAUUAACAGGGCAACACACACACACACACAGUAACCAACAUAGCCUGUAUCAAAAAUAAUGGUAUAGAUUUAAAGUAUGGCAAUCUGGAAC
This 8546-nucleotide long non-coding RNA is filed under the name Salmo salar (Atlantic salmon). RNAcentral describes it as "lncRNA (ENSSSAG00000085557.1)". Lineage: Eukaryota; Metazoa; Chordata; Actinopteri; Salmoniformes; Salmonidae. The record is from RNAcentral.